This 354-nucleotide long non-coding RNA is filed under the name Physcomitrium patens. RNAcentral describes it as "long non-coding RNA (PPAT_LNC011923)". The record is from RNAcentral. Lineage: Eukaryota; Viridiplantae; Streptophyta; Bryopsida; Funariales; Funariaceae.
AAAGGGACUUCUGGCGAUCAAUGCUGAAAGGUCGAUGUAUUAGACUAGUGAAUCGGGAUUAUAAUGAAGUAGUUGUGAUUACUCUUGACUGUUUUGUGAAAUCGAAGUUACAUCUGUGAUUAAAGAAUUAAAAGGGUGUCUAUAGGAUUGAGUAUGCGGAGUGAAUGAAAAUUUUUGGGUUAAUCUAACAAGAUAGUUAGUGGAUACAAGGUCGUGAGUAUAAAAUGGUACUCGAGAUUAGCAGAUUGGAUUGCUCGUGGUUCUCUGUAACGUCUAGAGACCAACCGGCUGUCAAGGACAAGAACUCGAUGAAAAAACAAUUUAGACAAGUGAUCCUUGACUCAAAGAUAGGUA